CAGGGCGCUCCUUUGGGAAGGGGAGGGGUGAAAGGUCGCCUGUCCCCGGCAACACGGCUCAGGCAAACGUAAGCGGCUUGUCGCAGAAACCGAGGGGGUCCAAGAAGCGCGCUAGGCUGGAAGGCGGGAAGCAGAGAUUACUGACAGCCGUGCCAGCCAAUAAUAUGGAAACCUGAGAAAGGCUCUUCAGGCCCCUUCCCAAUCAGAAAACUUGGGUAUGAGAGAGAGUGAAGGGGCGGGAUGGGAUCUCGGUCCAGCCGGGACUGGAGCAGCGACAAUUUUGGCUAGUCUGAGAAGGGCAUUCGAGUGACCGUUGACAACGUAUGGGACAGCGUCAAGGCUGAGGGAAGAACCUUGACCUCAUGCUUCCAGGACUUCUAGCUAGAUACCCACAGAGAUGCAACAAGAUGUUCAUUAUCUCAAAGCUUCCUGUACUGUCUUCAUCUUAGUCACAACUAAAGGGCCAUACCUGUGGCACACAGAACUUCUUGGACUAGGAGUCAAAUUGGAGCUGCAGUUGCUGGCCUAUGUCACAGCCUUAGCCAUGGCAAUAUUAGAUCCAAGCCACAUCUGAGACCUACACUGCAUGCUGCAGCAACGCCAGAUCCUUAAACCAAUGAGCAAUGCCAGGGAUCGAAGCCGCAUUCUCAUGGAUGCUAUGUUGGGUUCUUAACCUGCUACGCUACAAUGGGAACUCCCAAAGCUUUGAUUUUUAACCUCUAAAAUUUUAGAGGUUGUUCUGGCUCAUUAUGACUGUUAUAGUAUUACUAAGUAAAGUUGAAUGUGCCUGUAUUUAUUAGUCAGCAAUUCAAGUAAUUGGAAUUUGGCCUGUUGACUCUGCAUGAACAAACCAUUUAGAAGAAUGCUUUACAAGAGUCUUUCAGCAGUAGCAAAAUACUGGAAAAAAAUGGACUAUCUAGCAGAGAAAAUUAAUGAAACAGAGCCAAAUAUAUCAAUAUAGAUAAAUCUCAGAAUAUAUUGUUCAGUGUAAGAAGUAAGUGAGGAUAGAUAACAGUAAGAUUCCAUUUAUGUUAAGUGGAAAGUGUGAAGAGUUCAUGAAAGUUGUAUAUUGUGUUAGAAUUCAUACAUAAAUUGUAAAAAUAUAGAGAAACCUAGGAAAUGAUUAAUAGAAAAUUCAGGAGAGUGGUUUUUCUCUGCAUAGUGGGAGAGAAAGAAAAAUGUAUGCAAGGAGAUGCAAUUGAGGGCUUUUGACUGGUAAUAUUUUAUUUCCUAACUUGCGUGAUGGAUAGAUGGGUGUUGAUGUUACUAUUAUACUAUAAUCUCUCCUUCUACAUUUUGUUUACUCUUUCCACAUGGUCUAUAUUUCACAGACAAAAAUAUUUUAAAGCCAUCUACAAUAAUUCUGAUAUGCAAUGGCCCAUAAAAUAGGUUGAAUCAUAUUUUGAUACGUAGCCUACAAAGCUCUUUAAGAAAAGUCUAAUUUUAUUUUCCAAGGACACAGAUGGAGAUGAAAUUGAUGAUAUCCCAAUUCUGCUUUGUUUUUUGUGAGAUGUUGAGCAAUUCACUUAUUAGCUAUUUCCACUUUUAUGUUUAUGGAAUAGCAGUGAUAUACUGGUUUAUUAAAAUAUUGAUGUUUAUAAAACAUAUACCUGAAAUAGUAUCAUAUCCUAUAUUAAAAUAUUAUAGUACCAUUUAAAAUAAUAUAUUAAAAAUACACCUAGGUUUCUGACCUAAUGGAAGUUCUUGAAUGAAUAAUGGGAAUAUUGGCAAUGCAGAUCAUCACUGGCUUGGUUAUAAGUGAUGAUAUGAAACAUUUCACUUAAUGGAAGUGAUUAAAAAUGAUAGCAAUUAAACAGAUUUUUGACAGCUGAAAGUUCAAACACAUACCAAACUAUGAAAACACUUUAAUAACAUUUUUUGUAAGAUGAAAAAAUCUGUCAGGGGCAUACAAAUACAUAGGAAGAGUGUUUUGAACAGAGUACAAAAAUGCAACCUUCUUAGGAUGUUAGCACUAAAUGUCAAAAUACCAUGCUGCUAGCUUUUGGUGUUAACUUUUGAAGAUGACAGGUACUAUCCAUACAAUGUUAGAUUUUCAAAUGGUCAUGAAAAAAUUUUGUCACUGCCAAAAGCACAGCUAAAUUAUCAGUUUUCCAAUUUUCUAAAGUACAUGAGGUCUAGUAUAGCACUUUCUUCAGACAGGUUAUUAAAGGGAAGAGAUUAAGUCAGACCUGAAUGAAGCAGGUGUUAGAGUUCGGAUUCCAAUGUCCGUGACCACAGAUGCAGUGUUUGAGGCAACAUGACAAUAUCUGGUAGGAUCUGAGUUAGAACACCAUCUCUGAUCUGAUGGGUGGAAGAACUCCAGUAGUAAUAUCUAGACAACGGUCCCAUUUAACAUCAAAGAAAAUCAUCCAUGUUCAUAAAGAACCUCAGUGAAAGCCAGGCGUAUAGUUAAAGGGCCCUGUCUCUACAAAGAGAAGUUGCAGAUUAACUGGGCAGGCCGAAAGUGUUUUCUAACAAGGAAACCUACAUUGGAAUAUAGAUGUGAACCCAAAGAAGUCUACUACUCAUGAAGAAAAGAUAUAAAAUGUGGCUGUUUUCUCUAGCUGUGUUAAUGUAGCUAGAUGUCUGGGGGGGUUACAUUAAGGGCAUUUACUUUCAUUCUUAACCCUUCUUGAAUAGGAAUAGAUAUUUGAAUGUAGGCCAAACUAAUGUAAUUUCCAACUUUUGUACCAUAUAGAGUUAAAACUUCAAGAUGAAGGACUUCUGUCCUAGCAAUUGGUCAGACUGAAAAGGAAGGGACUGGUUUUAAAAGCCAUUCUCUUCAUUCAGCUAUUUUUAGAGCUAAUUGAAAACUUUCUGAUUAUAUAAAUCUUUACUGUAAGAUAUCAUUCUCCUGGGAGUGUUUAUACCCUAUAUUUCAGAACCGUGUUGGGUAUUUUCUAUUUGCCCUUCUAUUUUUAUUUUAACUUGUUCAAAAUCAUCUCUGUGUCCCAGAAGGCUGACAUCUAGGAACUGGUUCAAUGGACAGCCUUGCUCUCCGGCUUUUGACUGGAAAAAUUGGAAGCUCCUACAACAGUUUAGAAGGCAGGAGGAGAAUGACAUUUGGUAUUCAUUUCCAGUACUAGCUAGUCUAUAACAGUUCCUCUCUUCUUUAUACAUACAUGCCACUUCACAUUAAGAGAUGGAACUUACUUCCGCUGUCCUUGAAUCUGGGCUGGCCUAUGACUAACUUUUAUAAAUAGAAUGCAGCAUAAGGACCUUCUUGGACUUCAAACCCCAGGCUAAGAGAAAUGGAAGCUUCUACUGGCUGCCUCUUGGAAUCAUCUUCUGUGCUGUGAGAAGCUCAAGGUAAAUGGAAGAACCUCAAAAAUGAGAACCAACAAUUUCUAGCUACUUUAAAAAUUAAUUGAUAGCUAUGUGAGCGAGUCAUUGUGGUAGCCAUUCUCCAAUAUGGCACCCAAUGAAAGUCACUUUCCAUUAUUCACAUUCUGUAUGUAGUCCCACACUGCGGCAGUAUUGGUUUGUAUGACCAAUUGAAUACCACAGAGGUGAUGAUAUGUAACUCCCAAUAUUAAAUCAUAAUUGUCCUGUGACUUUCAUCAUGAUGGACUUCUUUCAGAUCACCUGGGAAGCCAGGUGUCGAUGUUAUGAGGACAUUCAGACAGCCUGUGGAGAGGCCUUUGUGGUGAGUAAUUGAGGCUUGCUUACAAAUACAUGGAGUGGAGUAACCAAAUUUCAGAUUAGUGCAAUUCAGUCAAUAUCUUGACUCCAGCAUUAGAAAAAACCCUGAGCCAGAACCACCCAACUAAGCUGCUACCAGAUUCUUAACACAAAAACUGCAAGAUAAUACAUUUUUGUGGUCAUAAGUUAUACUUAGCAGCUUAAUUUAUAUAUACAUGUACAUAUAUGUAUAUAAUGUUAUAUAUUACACAGCAGCAAAUAGCUAAUGCAUCCAUCCUAAGCAUUUGCAGUUCAUUUAAACCACCAGAUGACUGUAGCACUGGCUGAUAUAAAAGGCAGGAGAGAUCAUCUGACCAAGAUUAGCAUAUAGAAUUGUUAAAAGUAAUACAAUGAUUAUUAUUUUAAACCAUCAAACUUUGGAAUGUUUGUUUUGCAGCAAUAGAUAAUCAAAAUAUAAAUUGACACCUAGAAGUAAGGUGCUGGUGAAACAAAAAUCUAAACCAUGUGGCAUUGACUUUGGGUCUAGGCAAUGGGUAUAGGCCAGAAGAGCCUCAAGGAGACAGACAAUGGAGGCUGAAAAGACAGUGAGGAAAUAGUUAUUUGAUCCUGCAGCAAAGGAGAGUUUUUACCCUGUUGUGUAGAGACAGGAUGUUUGACAAUGCUGUAAUUUGUGGCAAUAUGAAAAAUAGAAAAUAUAUCUAAUGAACUUGUAUAUGGUUAAGGAGGUUUCUAGAUGGAAUGUGUGCCAACUUGUUUAUUUUAGGUGUAUAUGAUCUUUAGUAGGGUGAAAUGAACUAAAGAAGAAAGCAUUCAAUUUUCAAGCAGAAUCUAGAGUACAGGUCAGCAAAUAUUUUCUAUAAUGGGCCAAAUAGUAAAUAUUUUAGCCUUUUCAGAUUGCUGAAUGUUGUCUCUAGCAAUUACUCAUCUUUGCAGUUGUAGCAAUAAAGUAGACAUGGAUGAUACGUAAAUGAAUGGGAUUGGCUGUGCUUCAAUAAAAAAGGUUGACUGACAAAGGCUGGUGAUAGUCUGGAUUUGUCCUAUAGGCCAUAGUCAGUUAACAUCUGAUCUAAAGAAACACUUUCAAUUAGGGAUUUGCUAGAGUGGAACAGAAAUUAUUCUCAUAUUUAACCCUUUCAGCCCACAGAAAAAUUUCAGAGUAAAUUAAAACCUGGGGGCAAAGAUCAAAUCCAGGAUACUUCCAGAAAAAACAGAUACAGCAGGAGGAUCACUUCAAGAGUACAUUUGAAAGACUCUUUGUUCAACACUUAGAAAGAUUAAGAAUUUGCUCCUUAGACUCUCUCAGCCAAACAACAGAACUUUUAAGACUCUAAGGGCUUGCCCUGUUGACCUUCUCAGCUAGACAAUAGAGUUUCCUAGAAUCUUAAGGGAGUUCCUUAAGCGCUUUUGGCUAGGAAAAAAAGGGUUUUCAAGAAUCUUAGAGGUAUUGUCCUCAUUCUAAGGCUGAAGUAGAGAGGAGUGUGCCUUCAUAAGUCUGUCUUAAAAUAUGUUGUAGGUAUAUAGGAAGUUCAAAAUUUUCAAUAAAAAUGUUAACAGCUUCGACUAAAAAUGAUAGAGAUAGUUCAGAAUGAAAAAAGACUCCUGUAUUACUAAUCUCUUAUGAAAAGGAUGCAGGCUGAGAAAACUACUUAGCUACAAACAUAUUCUACGUCUUAUGGAAAACUAAGAAUGAUAUAGGAGGCACAGCCGUGGAAAGCCAUUCUCAGGGAGCAGAAAUGAGCCCUAAUGAAGGAUCAUUCUCUGUGCCUGGAGAUGGAGGAAAUGGUGAAAUAUUCUGUUAAAUUUCAGAAUUGCCAUGAACUAGUAUCCUGUUUUGCGUCUCUUGUUUCACCCUUUUAGAAUGAAGGUUUCUAUUGUGGCUGCCAUGUCCCUUCCUCAUUAUUGUAUGACUACUGUUCACAGGGCAGAUA
Molecule: long non-coding RNA, 5570 nt
Organism: Sus scrofa (pig)
Lineage: Eukaryota; Metazoa; Chordata; Mammalia; Artiodactyla; Suidae
Source: RefSeq, a predicted model, not a curated record